This 449-nucleotide ribosomal RNA is filed under the name uncultured bacterium. Its description in RNAcentral is "bacterial SSU rRNA". It matches the Rfam family "Bacterial small subunit ribosomal RNA", at positions 355 to 796 of the family's 1533-position model. The record is from RNAcentral.
UGGGGAAUAUUGGACAAUGGGCGCAAGCCUGAUCCAGCAAUGCCGCGUGUGUGAAGAAGGCCUUCGGGUUGUAAAGCACUUUCAGUGGGGAGAAAGGUGCGUGCAUUAAUACUGCACGUAAUUGAUGUUACCUACAGAAGAAGCACCGGCUAACUCUGUGCCAGCAGCCGCGGUAAUACAGAGGGUGCAAGCGUUAAUCGGAAUUACUGGGCGUAAAGCGUGUGUAGGUGGUUGAAUAAGUUAGAUGUGAAAUCCCCGGGCUUAACCUGGGAACUGCGUUUAAGACUGUUCAGCUAGAGUACUGUAGAGGAUAGUGGAAUUUCCAGUGUAGCGGUGAAAUGCGUAGAUAUUGGAAGGAACACCAGUGGCGAAGGCGACUAUCUGGACAGAUACUGACACUGAGACACGAAAGCGUGGGGAGCAAACAGGAUUAGAUACCCCCGUAGUCC